UUCCGUAGGUGAACCUGCGGAGGGAUCAUUACCGAGUUUACAACUCCCAAACCCCUGUGAACAUACCUAUACGUUGCCUCGGCGGAUCAGCCCGCGCCCCGUAAAAAGGGACGGCCCGCCCGAGGACCCCUAAACUCUGUUUUUAGUGGAACUUCUGAGUAAAACAAACAAAUAAAUCAAAACUUUCAACAACGGAUCUCUUGGUUCUGGCAUCGAUGAAGAACGCAGCAAAAUGCGAUAAGUAAUGUGAAUUGCAGAAUUCAGUGAAUCAUCGAAUCUUUGAACGCACAUUGCGCCCGCCAGUAUUCUGGCGGGCAUGCCUGUUCGAGCGUCAUUUCAACCCUCAAGCUCAGCUUGGUGUUGGGACUCGCGGUAACCCGCGUUCCCCAAAUCGAUUGGCGGUCACGUCGAGCUUCCAUAGCGUAGUAAUCAUACACCUCGUUACUGGUAAUCGUCGCGGCCACGCCGUAAAACCCCAACUUCUGAAUGUUGACCUCGGAUCAGGUAGGAAUACCCGCUGAACUUAAGCAUAUCAAUA
This 538-nucleotide ribosomal RNA is filed under the name Fusarium camptoceras. Its description in RNAcentral is "eukaryotic LSU rRNA". The stretch from base 181 to 334 matches the Rfam family "5.8S ribosomal RNA". The record is from RNAcentral. Lineage: Eukaryota; Fungi; Ascomycota; Sordariomycetes; Hypocreales; Nectriaceae. RNAcentral also lists the same sequence under 1 other name.